Molecule: long non-coding RNA, 9623 nt
Filed under: Populus tremula
Lineage: Eukaryota; Viridiplantae; Streptophyta; Magnoliopsida; Malpighiales; Salicaceae
Description: long non-coding RNA (PTRE_LNC000655)
Source: RNAcentral
UUUUGACACUUUUAGAAGAAAAAAAUACAGAAACCCUAACCCUAAAAAAAAAAAAAAACUUUUUCUUUCACACCAGCCGUCCCCCCCUUUUGUUUUCAUUUUUUUGGUCUCCCGGAGUUGCUCCUCGGUUUGAUUUUUCUGACCCAAAAAACCGGCCACCCGAACCAGCCUCCCCCUGUUUUCAUCUUCUUCUCCGCCGUUCCCUUUUUCUCGGCCACAAACAAAUCCAAAACAACAGUCCGAAGCCGCCCCCCUCAAUAUUCAACCCGACAACCCAUUGCUGCCUCUCACCAGCCAAAGAAACCGCCCCCCCCUUACCUUUGAAACCAAAACAGAACCCUUUUUUUUCUUCAUCGCCAUUUUCCAGCUUCUCCUGCUCUUCCCCCACAAAAUCCUGGCCUCCACUCCGUAACCCCGCACCUUUUGAUUUGUUUUUGGCUUCUCCCUUAACUGACCAAACAGCAGCCCCCAGCUUGAAUUUCUUUCCCCCGAUCUGUUCUUCUUUCUCUCCACCGGCCGCAGGCCACGGUCUCCCACGCCAGCAGCAGCCUCGCCACCACCGAUCUCUAACCAACCGGCCAGCAGCAGCGUUUUCCUUCCCCAUCAGCGACCAAAACAGAGCCGUUCCCCCAUCUCCUCAGACCCACGGCUCCCGCUUCAGCCAGCGAGUCUUUCCUUCCUUAGCUGCCGAACAUCCUCCAGCGACAGCAAUAACCCACCGACGCCUUGACAGCAGAUCCGGUCACCUGAGACAGAGACGAGAGGAGGUAGAGAAACGGAAGAGACGAUCUGAAGAAGAAGAGGAAGCAGCAGAUCGGAGAAGAAAGAACAAAAAAAUCAGAUUCGAAAAUAAAGAAAUAAAAGCUUAAAAUCGACUGCUUGUUGCGUUUUGGGUGUUUUUGCAGGUAACACCGGCGAGGACGGGAAGAGGGGACGAAGCUGCCACCAGCCCCCCUGCUGCGUCCUUUUUUUUCCUGCGGCGCGUGAACCCACGCGCCGCCAGUGACGGUGGCGCGUGGGGAGACGCGCCACCACUGUUUGCUGCGGUGGCAGGAGGCUAUCAAUGCGAUUUCUGAAGUUUAGGGACUUUUUUUUUUGUAAUUUUUAAAUUAUGUAAUGUAUUUUUUUUUUUUAGUGUUUAGUUUUUAUAUUUUUUGUAAUGGGAUGUACAAAAAGAAAAGAAAGAGAAAAUAAUCAUAAAAAAGGGGUUGUAUGUGUUGGUGUAUUUUUAUUCAGUUUUUAUAAUUUGUAUUUUGUAUUUGUGGAUGGAAAAGAAAAAGAAAAGAAAAGAAAAGAAACAAAAAUAGUGAAAGUGUAUGUGUGAGUUUGUAUUUUGUUUUAUUUAUUUGUAUAUAUUUUUUAAUGAUAAAAUUGCAAGGACUAAAAAAAGAAUUUAAUAUUUUGAUUGGAUCACGGUACAGAUUUAUUAACUUAUACGUAAGUUGUAUUUCUAACAUCCGAUGAAAAGACAAAAUUUUAAGACUUUUUUUUCACACGUUCAAAAUCACGAAGCAGCUUACCUCAGGUAGGGUGCGUUAGGGGUGCUAAUACCUUCCCUAACCACAACCAGUCCCUUACCCGCGAAUCUCGGAUAAGACCAGUACAUCCGGUUUCCUAGUAGCCCGCAAUCAAUUACUAGGUGGCGACUCCCACGAACGAAUUCAAAGCAAAACAUUACGCAACGAUGAAAAAUCGCCAGCCGAUGCCGCGCGCUUCGCUUCGGAUUUUUUUGGGGUGCGACAGGAUGGCGACUCCACUGGGGAUAGGUAUUGUUUUCAACUUUAUCGGACUAAGCUUUGUGUUUUGAUGUGUUCAAAUUUUUUUUUUUUUUGUGCUUUGUUUUGUUUUUUGUUUUAUCCAUGCAUUGUAUAUAAUUCUCUCAUGCAUCACAAGUUUUAAUUUUUGAAAGCACACACAAACUUUAAGUUAGGUGGGGGACUAGCAGCUUACCUUACGACUUGAGUCAAGGUUUAAGUUUGUGUAAACCCCAACUCUUUGUUGAGUGCUUAGACUGGUAAUAGUUGGACACGUGCCAACCAAUUACCUACUGGGCCCCUAUAUUGCCUUUACGAAGGCGAUCACUGGGACAACAAGAGACCCUUUUAGAGACCAAGUAGCAAACCCACCCUGUCUCACGUAAAAAGAUUAGAACCUGCCUGUAGGAUGUAUGCUCCGUAAAUAUUUGUUUUGUUUUGCAUCUGAGCAAACCCUUCUUGAAGCAUCUUGAACUCAAGACUUGUGGGUGACACAUUGGCCGUCACUCCGAAAAUUUUUAUUGUAGAGUUUGGGCAAAAAUCACGAUUCUUGCUCCAUCAUACAAGAGUUACGACCAUAUUGUCACCCCUCGAAGGGUGAGUUCGUCAUAUAGAUUACAUACAUGUACCGGGUUGAAAGAUAGUUCCCCCGCACAAGCUGUGCUGCAAGUGAUUAAAGAAAGGAUGGAAGUGAAGAAAGAUGUCAGAUAGAGGCUCAUUAUCAGUUUGAGGUUGAGAGCAUCAAAGGUGAAGUAGCUAGACUCAGAUCUGCUCGAACAAGUGUUGAGCAUCAAAUGGAAAGAGAAUGUCUGCACAGUCUUAUGUGGGAACACUGCUUGUCCACGUCCAAUUGAAGCUGCCUUUCCUUUUCAGUCAUGAACAACAGCAACAACGCCUUCAGUCAUCAACUAAUAACAACUCUGAUUCCUGUCCAGUUGCGCUGUUAAGUAUUCAUCGCCUCCACAUCAUCUAAUGGAACCAAACGACUACUAACCUCCUGUGCAUGGUGCAUUAGUCUGCUUUGAAGUUACCCCAAUUAUGAGCUCAAUUCCAGUUCAGCAGCACAAGAUGUUGGUCUAAAAAAAAAAAAAAACCAUGAUCAGACACUGAAUUUCAACGCGGUAGAGCUCUCUCUGUAGAGAUUUAUUUGUGGAUCUGUCAAUGGCAAAUGCAAAAGGGAAUGUAUUAAUUUCAUAUGCUUUGAAACUAUUUCCCACCAGUGGCACCAGCAAAACAUUGUAGUAGGCAGAAGAGUCAGACCUGGUCUGAUAAUAUUAGUAGUUGUCAAACUUCAAUGUGGCAGAGCUCUCUCUACAAAAAUCCAUUUAUGGCUCUGCAAAUUGGGAAUGCAAGAGGGGAUUUACUAAUUGCAUAUGCUACAAAUAUUUCUCUCAUCAGUUUCAGCACGAAGAAACUAUAGCAGGUUGAAGAGCCAGACUUGGCUUGAAAAAUAUGAGCAGACAUCAAACUUCAACGUAGCAGAGCUCUCCCGACAGGAAUCUGUUUGUGGAUCCGCAAUUAUGAAAUCCAAGAAGGAAUACAGUAGUUUCAGAUCAUUUUAUGAUUUUUCUCCAACAGUGUCAGUAUUAAAAUGCAAAAGUAGAGAGAAGAUACAUGCCUAGACUGAAAAACAUGAAGAAUACUGACACUUCAACAGAGCAGGACUUCCUCUAUAGGUGUUUGUUUGCUGCACUGUCAGUGAGAAAUUGAAGAGGUGACGAAGGAGUUUUAGAUUCAUCAGGUGCUCUUCCAAUAAAGACAAUGUGUGAUUCCACACGUCGGUAGUGGCGAUACUACAAGUUUCUGGAUGCUGCCAAGAUUACCAAGCUGUUAGAAAGUUUUCUAACAAUCCUCAACCAACCAUAGCAACAUUGGAAGAUUGAAGGAUCUGCCAUGGAUUCUAGAACAAUGAUGAGAGGUGAAUCAGGAGAUGACUUUGACAGUGUGAAACCUUAAUUAUGUGGUAUAGCCAGGUCUCACGGCAUCAUCAAUUGCUCAAAAUAUCUUUGCCAAGAUGGGACAUUGCUCUGCCGUUUAAGUUGUCGACCAGCAUCCGCAAGAUUCCAGAAUUUUGCUUGACUCCGACAAAUUCCCAUGCAACCACCAAUUUCUUAGUGGUAUAAUCCAGAUAAGAGAUGUGAUGUCAUGGUGGGGUCCUCAACCAUUUCAAGUGAACAGUUUCAAGAAUUGCAAGAAUUGAGUCUGGAAGUUGGUGAGCAAGAGACAGGUGGAGUCGUUGAAGAAGGGUGUCACUGGCUAUAUUGUUCCCCGAACAUCUUCAGAAGGACAUGUGAUCGAAAAUGCUUGGCAAAACACAGAUAUUGCCAGAAAAGCUGAUUCGAGAAGGGUGAUGAACAAUCAAUCAUAUUGUUAUGGAAUUCUGCAUUUUGUUUUGGGAUCACAUCUCAUCCUUCAACGAAACAUGCCUUGCUUUUGUCUCUUUGUUGUUUUGAAAUCAGCAGAUGUUUAGCAUUUUAUUCUGACAAAAUAUUUUGAUCAAACUUCAACAUGCGAUAAAGGUUAAUCAAUCCGGAAGAUUAGAAGUGUUUUGAUUACAGAAAUGACUCUAUGCUUGAAAAUGACAUGAGGUGACCAAACAAUUUUGAACUCAUACCUUUUGAAACUGAACCACACAUCAUAUAGCUAAGUUUUAGCAGUAUGCAUAAUGACAUGUAGUGGAUUCAAUAGUUAUGGACUCGUGAAUCAUGAUUCUUGCAAGUACAAAUCAUUACACUAGAUGAGGUCAAAAUUUAUCGGUUCUAACCGACCUUGCUUGAAAUGAGAAAAGGCCAUCUUUGAUAUCUCUUCACUUUCUAAAAAUUAUAUCCCUUGUAGUCCCAUUUUGAGCUUGGUGAGAUAUUUUCUUUCAAAAGGAAACCCUGACUAGGAUCACACCCCACACUGGGGGCAAAUGAGAAAUAUUUUGGAGACACUGAUAAAAUCAAUGGAUCAAAGAAAAGCUUAGAACAAAAGUCCAAUGUUUGAGAAAGGGCUAGCAGAAGAAAAUCCAUAGAUUGAGGGCCAUCCAAGAAAAACUUUGAGGAAGGCUAUGCAAAAAAAAAAAAAAAAAAAAAAUGGAAAGGAAAGAAAAUGCCUAUCAAUUCUAAGAGAGGCAAGACAGUUUUCAAUUGAAAAAAGACAUCAAAUGCCAAAAGUCAACACUAGAAAAAUCGAUGCUUCAUAUCUUUUGAUGUGUCUUGGAUAGAGCCUCUAAUGUCUUCAAAAAUAAUUAGAUUAGUUUAUUCAUCAAAGAAAAAGUUGGAUUUGCAUUAUGACCUAUGUUAAGAAAAUUCUGAUAUUUGAAGAUUAACAAGGUUAUAUGUCACUCUCGCUACAAUGACGACAAGAGAAAGAGAAUCGAUGAAUAGUUAAUGUUGGUCCUAGGUCGUUGAAACCCUCAAACACCUUUUGAGCCUAUGGAAUUCCUUUCUUUCAUAGCCAUGAACCAUAGCCUGCAUUACGUGCUUUUAAAAGCCCUUUUUAAUCAAGCAAGCAAUCUGAACCAAUAAAUGGCGUUCUCAAAACUUGAAGAGUUUUUCUAUAAGAGUCGUGGCUUCAUUGAAUUAGGCUACUGGUUAUUAUGCAUGCUGAUAAAAUAAAAUGCUAAGAAAAGAAACAACCUUUCUUGAUAAAGCCUGAGCAUCUUGUUUUUUUAAAAUUCAUAAAAAUGCCACCUCAUCAUAGACUAUCAAAUGAUAUACCCAAUAUCAAGGAUUCAAAUUGAUACAAAGAACCAUGGAAAAAGCCAUUUUUAAUCCUACAUUGGGUCAAUUUCUGUUUUCAAAAUGCAUGACAAUCAAAGGACUAUAUAUUUCGAAUAACGUGUGUUGGGUCUUUGAUCAAAAAGCUUGAUUUUCAAAAAGGACAUCUCUGAUUUCAUUUCAAACUAGACUUUGAAUAGACAUGAUCUUUGAAAUAUGAGAGUUGAUUCCAGAACAAGGAAGAUUAUCAAACACAAAAGAACAUUGAUUGAGUAUGCAAAAUCAUUGAUAGAAAUGACAUUGACAUUGAAGUCCUCGACACUCCUUGAAAAGUUGAGCAACUGGGGGCAAUACAGUAGACCUUGAAAAGAAAAAAAACAAGCAGUGCUCAGAUCAGCUAUGAGGCAAUGAUUAAAUGAUGAAUCAGUGAACUGAAGACAAUGAUGUUCAAGGAAAGAUAAUCAAUGAACGAGCACAUUCAGAUCAUGCCGGGGGCAUUGUCAUUCCAAAAUGGCCCAUGCUCUAGUGAACCCUGUCGGCAACGGAGAAACAAGGAUGUACUUGAAGGACACUUUCAUAUCAUCAUCUUUUGAAACAUGGCUAGCAAUCGAUGAAGAUACACAGAUGAAUGUAAUUGAAUGGUGAAAAGAUGCACACCACCAAGACUGACUGUGGAACAAUGCUGCACUUAAAGGACAAUCUCAUAUUGUCAUUCUUUGAAACAUGGUUAUAGAUAGAUGUUAUCACACAACUGCACUGAAUGAAUGUCGGAAAGGAACCCACCUCGAAGACUGAUUGUGGGACAACUUGUUCUGAAGCCAGAUGAGCGAUUCACCGCAUGAGUAUGAGUGAUAAAAGCAGCAUCAUUGAUGAGGCUGAGACAUUUCUUUUCACAAUCUGAUUAGAAGAGUUGAAAGGAAUCUAUGAGAAGCGCACUGAGCAUACAACCAUGAGCCUUUGUACUGCAAGCUAUGAGAUGCAUGUCUAGAUGACUGAUUGAGUUUCAAGGAGGCUGAUGAUAACAUGUACUUGAAGAGUACUGUUUCAACUAGAGGCAAGUUCAUGACUGAUUAACAAACGUGAUGGGUGUUGGCAUGAUGCACACAAUCAAUCAGAGGAUAAUUCUCAGAAGAAGCCAUGAGAGAAAAUCCUUCACGAUGAAUCAAGCAGUACCACACUUGGGGGCAGGGUCAAGCUUGAUGAACGAUGCAAGCAGUAAUUGUCGAAGACAGCCCGGGAUGGGCACUACAUUUACAACCGAGUGGAUGGCUAACACAUGAAUGAGCCAAUACAUCGGAAGAACAAAGAAAGCUUUGGAAUACAAACAAGGGCACCCUAUGACGAUGGAGCAUCAAAGAGGGGGGACCUAUUGUUUCAAAUCAGGUAAGGAUGCAUGCAUAUCAUCUAACCUAAAAAAAAAAAAAAAAAAAAAAAAAAAACACAAUUUGCACAUAUUUUUGAAUUGUUACAGGAAAAUCCUUAAUAAGGUCCAGCAAGAUGGUGGAAAGAGAAAGAAGCAUAGUGGUGAUGAUAAUAAAGAAUCGAUUUUGAUCAUGGAAUAAAAGGACGAUGGGAUGAACCCUACCAUUAGGAAAAUCCCAAAGAAAUGAAAAGAUCAACCUUGCAAUCGGGAAGCCUCGAGUUUUCAACUCUUGCAGUCAGGAAACACCGAGUUUUUUUUCAAACCCCAUGAUCGGGAAUUAUCAGGAAGCACCGAGUUUUCCAGCCCUUUCUUCUGUCAUCCCUUCAGAACUUCGCCAAGUAAGUCCUAUUUUUCACACCGCACUUCAUCAUAUUUUUUCCAUCUGGGUAGGUCACCCAUUACAAUGAGACCACACUUCAUAUUUUUUCCACGUGGGUAGGUCACCCAUUACAAUGAGACCGCACUUCACAUUUUUUCCAUCUGGGUAGGUCACCCAUACAAUGAGACCAUCAUUUUUCCGGGGUUCGUCACCCAUACAAUGAGACCAUCAUUUUUCUGGGUUCGUCACCCAUACAAUGAGACCAUCAUAUUUCUAGGGUUCGUCACCCGUACAAUGAGACCAUCAUUUUUCUAGGGUUCAUCACCCGUACAAUGAGACCAGCACUAGGGUUCGUCACCCGUACAAUGAGACCAGCACUAGGGUUCGUCACCCGUACAAUGAGACCAGCAGCACUAGGGUUCGUCACCCGUACAAUGAGACCAGCAGCACUAGGGUUCGUCACCCGUACAAUGAGACCAGCAUUUUUCGAGGGUUAGUCACCCGUACAAUGAGACCAGAAUGAGGUCGCCAGAUGGGAUCUCAUGUAGCUUUGGUUAAAGGGAAUCGUCAGAUGGGAUUUCAGGUUAACCGAGUUACACAUAUUUCGUUCCAGUUGAAUGAGGUCGCCAGAUGGGAUCUCAUGUAACUUUGGUUAAAGGGAAUCGCCAGAUGGGAUUUCAGGUUAACCGAGUUACACAUAUUUUCGUUCCAGUUGAAUGAGGUCGCCAGAUGGGAUCUCAGGUAAACCCAAUGUGUGGGCAGGUCGCCCGUGAAAAUAGACUAUUGGGAGAGUGUGGGUCGGUCGCCCGUGAAAAUAGACUUGAGUGAGUAUGUGUGGGCAGGUCGCCCGUGAAAAUAGACUUGAGUGAGUACGUGUGGGUAGGUCGCCCGUGAAAAUAGACCAGAGUGAGUAUGCGUGGGCAGGUCGUCCGUGAAAACAGAUCAGUGUGAGUGUGUGAGCAGGUCGCCCAAGAUAAUGAAAUCAUUUUCCUUUUGUUUUCUUUACAAAGCUUACUAUGCAAAAUUUUGAAGAGUUUUGCUUCGUAAGCAUUGUAAAGAGGGGGCAUCUGUUGCUACCCAAUUUUUGACCCAUGUUUUGAUAUAUUUUCAAAAAAAUCCAAAAAAUUGAGAAAAGCAAAGAAAAUCCAAAAAUAUGUUUUUUAAUAUAUUUUCGUCAUUUUAGCAUUUUCAACGUCGUCUAAAAAAAGAAUUUAAAUAGUUAAAAGAUUUUCAAACGCGUUCGAUGUUUCACGCGUUAUUUUUAAAUCAUUGAUUUUUCGCAUUUAAGUCGACGUUGAUAUUGCUCGUUUUCAAAAAAUACAAAAAAAUAAGAAAAAUCAAAAUUUACAAAAAAAAAGAGUUGAGGGACCAAGUUGAAAAACCUAGCAAAAGUUUUGCCUAUAAAUACUGGUUUCCAACACUUACUAAAGGAGGGGGGUAAUUUUGACACUUUUAGAAGAAAAAAAUACAGAAACCCUAACCCUAAAAAAAAAAAAAAACUUUUUCUUUCACACUAGCCGCCCCCCCUUUUGUUUUCAUUUUUUUGGUCUCCCGGAGUUGCUCCUCGGUUUGAUUUUUCUGACCCAAAAAACCGGCCACCCGAACCAGCCUCCCCCUGUUUUCAUCUUCUUCUCCGCCGUUCCCUUUUUCUCGGCCACAAACAAAUCCAAAACAACAGUCCGAAGCCGCCCCCCUCAAUAUUCAACCCGACAACCCCAUUGCUGCCUCUCACCAGCCAAAGAAACCGCCCCCCCCCUUACCUUUGAAACCAAAACAGAACCUUUUCUUUUUCUUCAUCGCCAUUUUCCAGCUUCUCCUGCUCUUCCCCCACAAAAUCCUGGCCUCCACUCCGUAACCCCGCACCUUUUGAUUUGUUUUUGGCUUCUCCCUCAACUGACCAAACAGCAGCCCCCCAGCUUGAAUUUCUUUCCCCCGAUCUGUUCUUCUUUCUCUCCACCGGCCACAGGCCACGGUCUCCCACGCCAGCAGCAGCCUCGCCACCACCGAUCUCUAACCAACCGGCCAGCAGCAGCGUUUUCCUUCCCCAUCAGCGACCAAAACAGAGCCGUUCCCCCAUCUCCUCAGACCCACGGCUCCCGCUUCAGCCAGCGAGUCUUUCCUUCCUUAGCUGCCGAACAUCCUCCAGCGACAGCAAUAACCCACCGACGCCUUGACAGCAGAUCCGGUCACCUGAGACAGAGACGAGAGGAGGUAGAGAAACGGAAGAGACGAUCUGAAGAAGAAGAGGAAGCAGCAGAUCGGAGAAGAAAGAACAAAAAAAUCAGAUUCGAAAAUAAAGAAAUAAAAGCUUAAAAUCGACUGCUUGUUGCGUUUUGGGUGUUUUUGCAGGUAACACCGGCGAGGACGGGAAGAGGGGACGAAGCUGCCACCAGCCCCCCUGCUGCGUCCUUUUUUUUCCGGCGGCG